Molecule: ribosomal RNA, 377 nt
Filed under: uncultured bacterium
Lineage: Bacteria
Description: bacterial SSU rRNA
Rfam family: Bacterial small subunit ribosomal RNA
Source: RNAcentral
AUACGUAGGUGGCGAGCGUUGUCCGGAAUUACUGGGUGUAAAGGGCGUGUAGGCGGGGCGUCAAGUCAGGUGUGUAGAUCCGAGGCUUAACUUCGGGCGUGCAUCUGAAACUGAUGUUCUUGAGUGUCGGAGAGGAAAGUGGAAUUCCCAGUGUAGCGGUGAAAUGCGUAGAGAUUGGGAGGAACACCAGUGGCGAAGGCGGCUUUCUGGACGAUAACUGACGCUGAGGCGCGAAAGCGUGGGUAGCAAACAGGAUUAGAUACCCUGGUAGUCCACGCUGUAAACGAUGGAUACUAGGUGUAGGAGGUAUCGACCCCUUCUGUGCCGGAGUUAACACAAUAAGUAUCCCACCUGGGGAGUACGGCCGCAAGGUUGAA